This 59-nucleotide transfer RNA is filed under the name Aphelenchoides besseyi. RNAcentral's name for it is "tRNA-Ile". The record is from RNAcentral. Lineage: Eukaryota; Metazoa; Nematoda; Chromadorea; Rhabditida; Aphelenchoididae.
UUUAUAUUAUUAAAAAUAAUUAUAUUAUCUUGAUAAGAUAAAGUUCUUCUGAUAUAAAA